Molecule: long non-coding RNA, 334 nt
Organism: Sinocyclocheilus anshuiensis
Lineage: Eukaryota; Metazoa; Chordata; Actinopteri; Cypriniformes; Cyprinidae
Exons: 3
Source: RefSeq, a predicted model, not a curated record
UGCUCUCUGCCUGUGACACCUGACAGACCUGCGAAAGCUGCCCAGAUCCGAGAGAGGCCGUCCGCGUUGGCGUUCGCGGCUCCAGCCCGAUGACGCACCACGAAGUGGAAGUCCUGGAGCACGAGGAACCAUCGAAUCACCCUGGCAUUGGUGUCCUUAGCGCGGGCCAUCCACUGAAGGGGUACGUGGUCCGUAACGAGGGUGAACUUCCGGCCAAGGAGGUAGUAGCGCAGCUCCAGGACUGCCCACUUGACGGCCAGGGCCUCCUUCUCCACUGCGGCGUAGUUUCUCUCUGCCGGGGUCAGCUUCCUGCUGAUAUAAAUGACCGGAUGCU